This 253-nucleotide ribosomal RNA is filed under the name uncultured bacterium. RNAcentral's name for it is "partial 16S ribosomal RNA". It matches the Rfam family "Bacterial small subunit ribosomal RNA", at positions 524 to 776 of the family's 1533-position model. The record is from RNAcentral.
UACGGAGGAUCCAAGCGUUAUCCGGAUUUAUUGGGUUUAAAGGGUGCGUAGGUGGCCUGUUAAGUCAGGGGUGAAAGCCGGUAGCUCAACUAUAGCAGUGCCCUUGAUACUGAUGGGCUUGAAUGAACUAGAGGUAGGCGGAAUGUGACAAGUAGCGGUGAAAUGCAUAGAUAUGUCACAGAACACCAAUUGCGAAGGCAGCUUACUAUGGUUUGAUUGACACUGAGGCACGAAAGCGUGGGGAUCAAACAGG